AAGUGUUACAGCUCUUUUGGAAUUUGUCCAGCAGGUUUUCUGUUUUGCACUGGAAAAAUCCCA
Molecule: small nuclear RNA, 63 nt
Filed under: Microcebus murinus (gray mouse lemur)
Lineage: Eukaryota; Metazoa; Chordata; Mammalia; Primates; Cheirogaleidae
Description: U7 small nuclear RNA (ENSMICG00000045802.1)
Rfam family: U7 small nuclear RNA
About the family: Animal histone pre-mRNAs are spliced by a different mechanism than nuclear pre-mRNAs and self-splicing introns. This processing involves the U7 snRNP, which contains only one RNA species: U7.
Source: Rfam by way of RNAcentral